UCCCCAUGACAUUUAGUGAUGAUGUGUCUGUUUUUUUAUCAAUUAAUGUGUGCCACGUGUGUAAUUCCAUUUUUUAAAAAAUAAAAAAAAUGGUAUUUUUCAGAUUUUCAGCACUAAAUUCUAUUGUUGGUCACGUGCCUCCUUCUCUCAAAAUCUGAAAAAUACCAUUUUUUUUAUUUUUUUAAAAAAAUAAAAUUACACACGUGGCACAUAUUAAUUGAUAAAAAACAGACACAUCAGCAUUAAAUGUCAUGGGGA
RNAcentral lists this microRNA precursor (258 nucleotides) under Medicago truncatula (barrel medic). RNAcentral's name for it is "MIR2646 microRNA precursor family". It matches the Rfam family "MIR2646 microRNA precursor family". The record is from Rfam by way of RNAcentral. Lineage: Eukaryota; Viridiplantae; Streptophyta; Magnoliopsida; Fabales; Fabaceae.